UCUUCUCCUAUGAAGGGUAUAACCUGCAAAACUCUGUCAUUCCAUUUCCCCGAUGUGAUGGUACGAAUGCACCUUACAUUUACAUCCUUAAAAGGGAACACUUUAAAGUUCUGGAAAAGCCAAAGAUGAUCUGCUUCAAGGUGACUUUCCUCAAAGUGGUCACCUGGACCCAAAGCUGUUGACAUCAUCUCUUGCUCAAAAGUGAUUAAGUCCUGACAAACUAGGCUCCCCAAUAUGACCAACACAAUAGUAAGAGCUAACCUCAGAUAGCAGUUAAGUGUUCUAAGAACUCUGCGUGCACUUAUGUACUCAGUGUUCACAAUACCCCAUGAGGUAGGAACUAGAUUAGUUACCAUUCAUUUUUUACAGUGUGCCAAGUGAUUUUCACUAUCUGUCUAACAAAAUGAAGAGAUGUACUCACCAGAACUCCAGACAACUGCUUUCCAAGACAGAGAAGUAGAUAGAGACCAGACUCUGCUUCCUGUGGAGGUUGGACACUGCAGGGCAAGUCAGAUGAGAGAGGGAUGUUUGGAAAGGGAUGAUAAGGAAGCAGCAUGAGGUCCACAGAGGAGAUGGAGGAGACUCAGUGUGGUAAUGAGAAGGCAGGGGGGAUCCUCCACCCUUCAAGGAAGUCUAUAGUUAAUAAUCCUACAUUAUUCUCCAAGUCUUCUCUAGCUGGAUGUACUCAGUUGUUUGACUUUUGAACAUGUACAUGGGGAGUUUAUUCAGGUUCUAUUUAAAAAAUAGGAUGGUUAGGGCAAAAGAACUAAUUUAACAUUUCUUCAAAGGAGACAGACAGAUGGCCAACAGGCACAUGAAAAUAUGCUCAGCAUCACUAAUCAUUAGAAAACGCAAAUCAAAACCACAUUGAAGUAUCACCUUACACUGGUCAGAAUGACCAUCAUCAAAAGUCUACAAAUAAUAAAUGCUUGAGAAGGUGUGGAGAAAAAGGAACCCUUCUACACUGUUGGUAGGAAUAUAAAUUGGUAUAGUUACUAUGGAGAACAGUAUUCAGUUUAACUCAGUCGCUCAGUCAUGUC
Molecule: long non-coding RNA, 1040 nt
Filed under: Capra hircus (goat)
Lineage: Eukaryota; Metazoa; Chordata; Mammalia; Artiodactyla; Bovidae
Description: lncRNA (ENSCHIG00010018888.1)
Source: RNAcentral